Molecule: non-coding RNA, 220 nt
Filed under: Oreochromis niloticus (Nile tilapia)
Lineage: Eukaryota; Metazoa; Chordata; Actinopteri; Cichliformes; Cichlidae
Description: Eukaryotic large subunit ribosomal RNA
Rfam family: Eukaryotic large subunit ribosomal RNA
Source: Rfam by way of RNAcentral
CAUGUCUUUGGAUUGUGGGAGGAAGCAGGAGUAUCCGGAGAAAACCCACACAGUGUUGGGACAGUGGCAGGGGGAGUUUGACUGGGGCGGUACACCUGUCAAACAGCGGUCCUGAGAUCAGAGAGGACAGAAACUUCCCGUGGAGCAGACGGGCAAAUGAAAAGCAGGGCCUCAUGAUCCGUCUGAGUUUUGGGGUUUUAAGUAGGAGGCGUCAGAAAUG